This 20-nucleotide unclassified non-coding RNA is filed under the name Chlamydomonas reinhardtii. Its description in RNAcentral is "small RNA Cre_1117". The record is from RNAcentral. Lineage: Eukaryota; Viridiplantae; Chlorophyta; Chlorophyceae; Chlamydomonadales; Chlamydomonadaceae.
CCGGGAAGAUGAAGACGUCA